UCAAGUGACUAAGUGUAUGUGGUGGAUGCCUUGGCGAUCACAGGCGAUGAAGGACGUAGUAGCUUGCGAUAAGCUGCGGGGAGCCGGCAAACGGGCUUUGAUCCGCAGAUUUCCGAAUGGGGGAACCCACCGACGUAGGUCGGUAUCACGCACUGAAUACAUAGGUGCGUGAGGCGAACGGAGCGAACUGAAACAUCUAAGUAGCUCCAGGAAAAGAAAUCAACCGAGAUUGCGAAAGUAGCGGCGAGCGAAAUUGCAGCAGCCCAGUGUUCUGAUAGCACGAACGACAGCAGAAGGGUCUGGAAAGGCCCGCUAUAGAGGGUGAUAGCCCCGUAUGCGAAAUCGGACGUGUGGUACUAAGGAACCGAUAAGUAGGGCGGGACACGUGACAUCCUGUCUGAAGAUGGGGGGACCAUCCUCCAAGGCUAAAUACUCGUGAUCGACCGAUAGUGAACCAGUACUGUGAAGGAAAGGCGAAAAGAACCCCGGGAGGGGAGUGAAAUAGAACCUGAAACCGCAUACAUACAAACAGUAGGAGCCCCUGCAGUGGGGUGACUGCGUACCUUUUGCAUAAUGGGUCAGCGACUUACGUUUUGUGGCGAGCUUAACCGAGUAGGGGAGGCGUAGCGAAAGCGAGUUCGAAUAGAGCGAAGAGUCUCAAGGCGUAGACCCGAAACCAGAUGAGCUAUCCAUGGCCAGGUUGAAGGUGUGGUAACACACACUGGAGGACCGAACCGACUAGUGUUGCAAAAUUAGCGGAUGAGCUGUGGAUAGGGGUGAAAGGCUUAACAAAUCUGGAGAUAGCUGGUUCUCCCCGAAAACUAUUGAGGUAGUGCCUCGUGUAUUGCUCCAGGGGGUAGAGCACUGUUAUGGCUAGGGGGACAUGGCGUCUUACCAAACCAUGGCAAACUCCGAAUACUUGGAAGUAAGAGCACGGGAGACAGAGCACCGGGUGCUAACGUCCGGACUCAAGAGGGAAACAACCCAGACCGCCGUUUAAGGUCCCAAAUAUUGACUAAGUGGAAAACGAAGUGUGAAGGCUAAGACAGUCAGGAAGUUGGCUUAGAAGCAGCCAUCCUUCAAAGAAAGCGUAAUAGCUCACUGAUCGAGUCCUCAUGCGCGGAAGAUGUAACGGGGCUAAGUCAAUAACCGAAAGCGCGGAUUUGCAUGAAAAUGCAAGUGGUAGGGGAGCGUUCUGUAAGCCUGCGAAGGUGGUUCGAGAGGACUGCUGGAGGUAUCAGAAGUGCGAAUGCUGACAUGAGUAACGUUAAAGCGGGUGAAAAGCCCGCUCGCCGUAAGCCCAAGGUUUCCUGCUCUACGUUCAUCGGAGCAGGGUGAGUCGGCCCCUAAGGCCAGGCUGAGAAGCGUAGUCGAUGGGAAGCAGAUUAAUAUUUCUGCACCAUGUGCAAGUGCGAUGGGGGGACGGAGUGCGAAAGAUCAUCCGGGUGUUGGAUGUCCCGGUUUGCGAGUGUAGAAGGCCGACAGGCAAAUCCGUCGGCGGAUCUUCGAGACAAAGCAUCGAGGUUCUACGGAACCGAAGUGAUCGGAAGUGCUUCCAGGAAAAGCCUCUAAGCUUCAGCUUGCAUAUGACCGUACCGUAAACCGACACUGGUGGGCGAGUUGAAUAUACUCAGGCGCUUGAGAGAACUCGGGAGAAGGAACUCGGCAAAUUGACACCGUAACUUCGGGAUAAGGUGUGCCUUUGUAGCGUGAAGAGAGAAACACUCGGAGCGUGAAGAGGCCUCAGAGAAUCGGUGGCUGCAACUGUUUAUUAAAAACACAGCACUCUGCAAAGACGAAAGUCGACGUAUAGGGUGUGAUGCCUGCCCGGUGCUGGAAGAUUAAGUGAUGGGGUGAGAGCUCCUGAUCGAAGUCCCAGUAAACGGCGGCCGUAACUAUAACGGUCCUAAGGUAGCGAAAUUCCUUGUC
RNAcentral lists this ribosomal RNA (1929 nucleotides) under human gut metagenome. RNAcentral describes it as "bacterial LSU rRNA". It matches the Rfam family "Bacterial large subunit ribosomal RNA", at positions 3 to 1973 of the family's 2925-position model. The record is from RNAcentral.